This 433-nucleotide ribosomal RNA is filed under the name uncultured bacterium. RNAcentral's name for it is "partial 16S ribosomal RNA". It matches the Rfam family "Bacterial small subunit ribosomal RNA", at positions 29 to 507 of the family's 1533-position model. The record is from RNAcentral.
AAUGAACGCUGGCGGCAGGCCUAACACAUGCCAGUCGAGCGAAGUCUUCGGACUUAGCGGCGGACGGGUGAGUAACGCGUGGGAACAUGCCCUUUGGUGCGGAAUAGCCCCGGGAAACUGGGAGUAAUACCGCAUGUGCCCUUCGGGGGAAAGAUUUAUCGCCAAAGGAUUGGCCCGCGUUGGAUUAGGUAGUUGGUGGGGUAAUGGCCUACCAAGCCGACGAUCCAUAGCUGGUUUGAGAGGAUGAUCAGCCACACUGGGACUGAGACACGGCCCAGACUCCUACGGGAGGCAGCAGUGGGGAAUCUUAGACAAUGGGCGCAAGCCUGAUCUAGCCAUGCCGCGUGAUCGAUGAAGGCCUUAGGGUUGUAAAGCUCUUUCAGUGGGGAAGAUAAUGACGGUACCCACAGAAGAAGCCCCGGCUAACUCCGUG